UAGGGAAUCUUCGGCAAUGGGGGCAACCCUGACCGAGCAACGCCGCGUGAGUGAAGAAGGUUUUCGGAUCGUAAAGCUCUGUUGUAAGAGAAGAACGUGUGUGAGAGUGGAAAGUUCACACAGUGACGGUAACUUACAGAAAGGGACGGCUAACUACGUGCCAG
This 164-nucleotide ribosomal RNA is filed under the name uncultured bacterium. RNAcentral's name for it is "partial 16S rRNA". It matches the Rfam family "Bacterial small subunit ribosomal RNA", at positions 355 to 511 of the family's 1533-position model. The record is from RNAcentral.